UCCCUUCUUCUUCUACAUUGUGUUUGCUUGUCUUAAAAAAACAGCAGAAACAAGUAAGGAAGAGAAGAAGACGCUUGUAAGAACUCCAAGGAAGGUAGAGAGAUCUGCACACGUAUUCAUUCGAGAUCUCCGAUUCAUUCCCAUACGAUCCCUCGUCAGCGGUUGCACAAGCUCCUGAGGCCAUGAGCUAGCACCAACUCUAAGCUAGCUUGGAGAAAGUAGUCUUCUCUUUUUUGGAGAUGUGCAUGACAAGAGAGAAUCUAGAUUCACGUCUCGGAAGCCUGCUUCGGUGAUUAUUUCUAAGCCGGAGGAGGUGGCGGAGCGGUUGAAACUGAGCGUAAGGAAGAGGAAAGCGGGGUUUGUUUAAACUGGAACGUGAGAACAUGGCCGGGUCAAAGAAAUAGGGGACAACGGAUUGGACCGGGCGGUCGCAGCCUCCUAUCUAAGCAGGAGUUGUGUCGAUGGAUGACGAGAUAUUUCAAGUGACGCCGACGUUUCAUAUGGUGGAACUGAAGAAAUGUAAUGGAGAUAGUGUGGGUUUGGCAGAGUGACAAAGAUGAGCGAGCCGUUAAUGCCUGCUUCACAACAACAGGAAGAAGAAGACGCAUUGUAGUUUUUGAGAUUUUUUUUGUAAUCAAGUUUUGAAUUUUGUUAAGUCUGAUGGUAAAACGUAUAUGAGAGUUUUUUAUAUUUUCGUUUGUGAAAAAGAAAGGUAACAACAUCCUGCCAUAUAA
Long non-coding RNA from Brassica oleracea var. oleracea, 734 nucleotides. RefSeq lists it as uncharacterized. Lineage: Eukaryota; Viridiplantae; Streptophyta; Magnoliopsida; Brassicales; Brassicaceae. The record is from RefSeq and is a predicted model, not a curated record. The transcript is spliced from 3 exons.